RNAcentral lists this ribosomal RNA (498 nucleotides) under uncultured bacterium. RNAcentral describes it as "partial 16S ribosomal RNA". It matches the Rfam family "Bacterial small subunit ribosomal RNA", at positions 27 to 507 of the family's 1533-position model. The record is from RNAcentral.
GGAUGAACGCUGGCGGCGUGCCUAAUACAUGCAAGUCGAGCGGACAGACGAGGAGCUUGCUCCUCUGACGUUAGCGGCGGACGGGUGAGUAACACGUGGAUAACCUACCUAUAAGACUGGGAUAACUUCGGGAAACCGGAGCUAAUACCGGAUAAUAUAUUGAACCGCAUGGUUCAAUAGUGAAAGACGGUUUUGCUGUCACUUAUAGAUGGAUCCGCGCCGCAUUAGCUAGUUGGUAAGGUAACGGCUUACCAAGGCAACGAUGCGUAGCCGACCUGAGAGGGUGAUCGGCCACACUGGAACUGAGACACGGUCCAGACUCCUACGGGAGGCAGCAGUAGGGAAUCUACCGCAAUGGGCGAAAGCCUGACGGAGCAACGCCGCGUGAGUGAUGAAGGUCUUCGGAUCGUAAAACUCUGUUAUUAGGGAAGAACAAAUGUGUAAGUAACUAUGCACGUCUUGACGGUACCUAAUCAGAAAGCCACGGCUAACUACGUG